This 227-nucleotide ribosomal RNA is filed under the name uncultured Bacteroides sp. Its description in RNAcentral is "partial 16S ribosomal RNA". It matches the Rfam family "Bacterial small subunit ribosomal RNA", at positions 383 to 607 of the family's 1533-position model. The record is from RNAcentral. Lineage: Bacteria; Pseudomonadati; Bacteroidota; Bacteroidia; Bacteroidales; Bacteroidaceae.
CUGAACCAGCCAAGUAGCGUGAAGGAUGACUGCCCUAUGGGUUGUAAACUUCUUUUAUACGGGAAUAAAGUGAUCCACGUGUGGAUUUUUGUAUGUACCGUAUGAAUAAGGAUCGGCUAACUCCGUGCCAGCAGCCGCGGUAAUACGGAGGAUCCGAGCGUUAUCCGGAUUUAUUGGGUUUAAAGGGAGCGUAGGCGGACUAUUAAGUCAGUUGUGAAAGUUUGCGG